CCUGGAGGAAGGAUUUGGUCACCGUGCUCACUUAACCCAUGAUUUCUCAGCUGGAAGUGUCAGUUUUGAUGGGCUGUUUUUAUGACACCCUCCCACCCUGAGAACUGGAUGAACUCCAUUAUCUUGAAUCCCAGGGAACACCUUUAAACACUGCCUGUCCAACUAGAGGCAUGUAGCACAGCGAAGAGCCCCAGGUUUCGCCGUGCUGCGAUGCUGAGCAAUACCCUCUGCCGGCAAGCGGAAAACAUGACAGCGCUGGGACGUGUCACCCGCCUCAGUCCUCGUGUCACUUGAGUGCACAAACUGCAUCCCAUGUUUAAACAAGUGGCAGAAAUAAUCUUCCUUAUUCAGCAGUGCAGCCACAGAAAUCUGUUAACAAGCAUGCAUGCAGAUAUCCUUUG
Long non-coding RNA from Cygnus olor (mute swan), 401 nucleotides. RefSeq lists it as uncharacterized. The record is from RefSeq and is a predicted model, not a curated record. The transcript has 3 exons. Lineage: Eukaryota; Metazoa; Chordata; Aves; Anseriformes; Anatidae.